This 6142-nucleotide long non-coding RNA is filed under the name Sus scrofa (pig). Its description in RNAcentral is "lncRNA (ENSSSCG00035004852.1)". The record is from RNAcentral. Lineage: Eukaryota; Metazoa; Chordata; Mammalia; Artiodactyla; Suidae.
CUUGUGGGUGAACUGUUUUAUAUACAGUCUUGUCUAUGUAUCAAUCCCAUCCUUUUAAUGUAUCCUCCCCCCUGCAGUUUCCACCAUGGUAACUCUAAGUUUGAUUUCAAAAGCUAGGAGUUUGUUUCUGAUGUAUAAAUACAUUUUUUUUUGAAUCAUUUCUUAUUAGAUUCCACAUGUAAGUAAUAGCCUAUGAUAUUUGUCUUUCUCUGUCUGACGUACUUCACUUAGUGUGAGAAUCUCUAGGUCCCAUGCAUAUUGCUGCAAAUGGCAUGGUUUCAUUCUUUUUUAGGGCUCAGUAAUAUUCCACUGUGUAUAUGGACCACAUCUUCUUUAUCUGUUCCUCUGUCCAUGGACCCUUAGGUUGUUUCCAUGUGAGGGAAAUGGAUGCAUUAGUCUGUUUCUGUUUGGUACCUAAGUUCAUUUGUAUCCUUGUUUUAGAUUCUACGUAUAAGUGAUAUCAUAUGAUAUUUGUCUUCCUCUGUGUGACUGAUGUCACUUAGUAUGAGUAUCUCUAGGUCCAUCCGUGUUGCUGCAAAUGAUAUGAUGAGGUUCUUUUUAAUGGUUCUUUUUUAAUUCCAUUGUACAUAUACAGCUGCCUCUUUACCUAUGCCCCAUCCAUCCUGACCCAUAGCUGUGCACUGUUCUCUCUUCGAUGCAGUGUCGCACCCCCAGGUACAAGUGCACACAGCAUACACGGUGACACAUGCACACACUCACGCGUGCCCAGCCACCGGCUCCCUCUGCUGCUCUGCUCUGGCAGAAUAACAGGUUUUUCCAGGGUGCCAUGGAUCCUACCCAUGUCCUCCAUCUCUCCCCAGGGAUUUUAAGAAGAAUAAGAAGUAAGGAGAAUGGAGUUCCCAUCGUGGCUCAGUGGGUUGUGCACCGACUAGGAUCCAUGAGGACGCGGGUUCAAUCCCUGGCCUCGCUCCGUGGGUUAAGGAUCUGGCAUUGCUGUGAGCUGUGGUGUAGGUUGCAGACGUGGCUCGGAUCUGGUGUUGCUGUGGUUGUGGUGUAGAGUGACACCUGCAGCUCCGAUUCGACCCCUGGCCUGGAAACUUGCAUGUGCUGCGGGUGCAGCCCCAAAAAGACAAAAAAAAAAAAAGAUAAUGGAAGCCCCGUGAGGUGUCUUUUGCCACCUCUGCACAACAGAGGUGUUUUGCAAAGGGACAGGGGAUGGACCCAGAGGGAGAUGGGGGGAGACUGCCCCCGUGGGACUUGUUCCUGGCACCAUGACUGACAACCAGACCCCCAGGCGUGGGUAGAAAUGGAUGGCAUGGGUUGAACCACCCCAGACAGCACACUGAGCAGAUGCCGGGAGGCCCCUGCACUCCCCAGGGCUGCAUCCCCUCUGCUUUCCAUGUGUCUUCACAUCCUGUUUUGCAAAAGCACACACGAGCCAGUGCGAUUUCCGUCCGGGGGAGAUAGUGAUUUUUGUAUCGGCCGCAAGCCAGCGGCAGCAUCUCGCCCCCGCUGCUGCAAGAGUUGGCUGCAAGGAGCCUUCAGUGGUCCCAGUCUGCUGAGGACCGGUCAGAAGGACAUCAUCUUUUUCGCUUGGCUGUGGCUCCCAACGUGUGUCAUUUCCUCAUUCCCAUCGCUGUGAGGCCAGGUCAGGUGGGAGGUUUAACUCUUUUUAAGGCACUGUCUUGACCCGGGCGACCUGACUUGUGAAGGGUUCUUUUUCUUUCUUUCCUUUUCUUUUUUUUUUCCAAAAUAGUUGUGAAGACCCCCUGCUCUCCCCCAAACCUGCCACACCCGCAUGUCCGGGGUAGGUCUGGGUGCGUGGAUUUUGGCAGUAUUUGCUGAUCGUCUCCUGGGGUUCUUAUUUCUCAAGCUGGGUGAAAACUUGACCCUGAAAGAUGUGUCUGGAUUGAAGAUCGCUUCCAAAGCUGAGGCUUAGGAGUCUAGAAACACUUCAAUUUGGGAUGGGGAGGAAAAAAAGCCUACCUAGGCAUUAGGGCUAAUGAAUGGCUUAGGAUUGGCAAAGUAGAUACAAGCAUAAGCCAAAAUAUAUCUUCUUCUUUUUAUUUAUUGGCAUGGGUGCAUCAGCCUCAGAAAAAUCUGUCUGCGGGAAGCAGCCAGAAUGUGGGCUCUGUGAGUCCUUCAUGUACUGUCUUCUUCUCUCAAAAUAUCUUUUGUUUUUUCCUCUUACAGAUAUGAUGGCCUUUCUUUUCGUUGUUAAAGAAAAGUUUCAUUGAAGUGGACUGGAUGGACACGGCUGUGAUCUUUUCUGCUGUACAGCAGAGUGACUCAGGCGUCCACGUCUACACAGCCAUUCUCCUUCAGAUUCAUUCCCCAUGUAGAUGAUCACAGCAUACUGGGUAGAGGUCGCUGUGCUGGACAGCAGGUGCCCGUUGGCCCGUCAUUCCACAGACCUCCGUGUGCACGUGCCAAUCCCACAGCCCCCAGUCCAUCCGUGCCCCCGCUGGUCGGUCCCCUUUGCUGACCAUAAGUUUGUUUUCAAAGUCUGUGAGUCUGUUUCUGUCCUGUAUUUAGGUUCCUUUGUGUCAUAUUUUAGAUUCCACUGCUAAGUGAUAGCUUACGGUAUUUGUUUUUCUCUUUUGGACUCAUUUCACUUAGUAUGAUAAGUUCUCGGUCCUUCCGUGUUGCUGUAAAUGGCAUGAUUCCAUAUGUUUUCAUGGCUGCGUAAUAUUCCACUGUGUAUAUACUGCAUGUUCGCUAUCCGUUCAUCUGCUGAUGGACAUUUAGGUUGUUUCCUUGUCUUGGCUGUUGUGAAUAGUGCUGCAGUGAACAUUGGGGUGCGUGGAUCGUUUCAAAUUUUGGUUUUGUCCAGAUAUAUGCCCAGGAGUGGGAUUCUGGAUCAUAGAGUAGAUCUGUGUUUAGUUUUUUAAGGACCCUCCAUCCUGUUUUCCAUAGGACACCACUUUGAAUUCCCACCUACCGUGGACAAGGCUGCUUUCUCUCCACUCCCUCUCCAGCAUGUGUUAUGGGUCGUCUUUUUGAUGAUGGUCAUUGUGGCAAAUGUUCCAAAUAGCUGUUGCAUCAUUGUCUUUUUCCUUUCCUUCUUUUUUUUUCCCCCCUCUGGCCACACCCACAGCAGGUAGAAGUUCCCAGGCCAGGGUUUGAAUCCAAGCCACAGCAGUGACAAUGCUGGAUCCUUAAUGCUGAGCCACCAGGGAACACCUGCAUCCUUGUCUUGCACACCCAGCAGCCCCAGUGAUGGCUUCUCAUUCCUCUCAAACGUCCAAAGAUGUUCCUAUGUUGGUCACUCGCCAGGGCCUCUGUACCACAUCUGUCCCCAUCAUCACCCAGCAAUAUGUAUAUUGAUAUUCCAUGUGAGUUAAUGUCUCUUUUUGGAAUGUCUCAUGUCUUUAGUUCACAAACAAACAAAAAUCUAUAAAUGUUUCAAGGAUGCACACUCAAAGGAAAACACACGUGGCGAUUAGACAAGGCACCAAGUGUGAAUAGCACAGAACAUUUUUAGCCAGAAACCAAACCCGCUUGGAUGGGACUAGCGGUCGUAUGAAACCAGCAACAUCAAAGGAGAAUUUGAGACAUUCCCCCAGACUCCCUGGAGGGUCAUCAAGCAUCUUCUGCUCCCAAGGCCUCAGGGGUUCCUGGCUAAACACAUCCCAGGCUGCGGUUAUUCAGUCCUCAAAUUCAAAUUGGGAACAUCACGGGGAAGACGGGGUAAGGACCUCCGCUUCCGGUCAAGAUGGAGCGACAGGAACAGAAUUUGCCCUCCAGCCUCAAUCACAACCACAAAUGGUCUGAAUGUUGGCAGAUUCGCAGGUGCAAACUGGCAUAUAGAGGCGGGAUAAACCGCAGAGUCCCGCUAUGGAGCAUGGGCAGCUCUAUUCAGCAUCCUGUGAUAAACCAUUGUGGAAAAGCAUCCGAAAAAGAAUGUGUCUGUGUGGAUAACCGAGUCACGUCGUGGUCCAGCAGAAAGGAACACAGCAUUGCAAAUCCACUCUCCUUUGAUGAACUACCUUGUAAAUCAAUACAUAGUCCAGAUAUAGGCGAGAGCAGUUUUCAAGAGUGGCCAUGAGGCAGUUCUGAACAGUGACCCCGAGGGCCCCCAAAAGGAACCAGAUGCAAUCCCGGCAACCUGCGAUCCUUCAAGAGGGUGAAAAAAGACAAGAGGCACCAUGCAUUCCCUUGCAUGGUUCACCUUGGCCACACGGCACGGCCCCUGCUGCAAAGGAGGCUGGGAAGGGUCCCCCAUCAGGGCAAGCAUGUGCCCAGCAGCCCUGGGAGAGGUUCGAGGACAAAGGUGAGUAUGGGUUGGUGUCGGGUUAUUUGUAUCUGCUCACGUCUUCAGGGAGAUGAAUAACCCGGAGCCCAGACCACGGCACUGGGACUCACGGAAAACGGUCCCAUUGGAAAGGGAAGUUAGGAGUUCUGCUGUGCCUCAGUGGUGACAAAUCCCACUGGUAUCCAUGAGGAGGUGGGUUCCGUCCCUGGCCUCACUCAGGGGGUGAAGGUGUAAGUCACAGACGUGGCUCAGAUCUGGCGUUGCUGUGGCUGUGGUGCAGGCUGGCAGGUGCAGCUCCGAUUCAACCUCUAGCCUGGGAGCCUCCGUAUGCCGUGAGUGCCGUCCUACAAAUGCAAAAAAAUUAAAAGAAAGAAAGAAAGAAGGAAAAGCAUGUUAGAGCAGACACAUCUUUGAACACGUCUGAUGUGAACGUGAGGGAAGGAAGCGGGGGAUUGAAACGUGGGGCUAUGGGAUUUCCCUGGAGGCUCAGCAGGUUAAGGAUCCCUCGUUGUCCGUGGGAUGGCUCGAGUUGCUGCUGUGGCAUGGGCUCGAUCCCUGGCUGGGGAGCUUCCGCAUGCCGCAGGCACCACCAAAAAAGAAAGGAAAGAAAGAAACACGGGAGUGUGUUUCCUUGUUUGGAGAACAGAUGCCAUUGAGAUGUGACAUGCACAAGGAGCAUGUUUGGGACGGAAGGAGGGGCACAUCCAAGUUUUUAGACAUCCGUGCACUUCAGCGUCAUGGGGGCAUCCAUGUGGAGGCAUUCCGGAGACCACGGGCCACUUGAAUGCCCCUAGGGGACACCUAGAGGCACACGGGGCUUAUUUGUGUGGCGGGGGGGAACUAGUUCACGGAGCAAGAGCAAACGAGGCCAUCAAGAGCAAACGAUGCUGGUGAGGUUUCAGCUCUCACCCCUCGGAGCGUGUGGAGGAGAGGAAGGGAUACGAAAUAGGGAUCGAUGAAGCGUAGUGGACGACGAGGCGGGCAGAGCAGAAGGGCUCGACGUUGUGGAGAGCAGGGAAGAAGGAUUCCUGGGGUGCAGCUCCAGAAGGUCCAUUCUUGAAGACGGCUUUUUGGGUUGGAAAGGAGAUCAGGGCAUGUCCCCCCAGGGCCACGUCAGAAGCACAGCGGACCUCACUGAGCAGAGUCGACACCACAGGAGAAAAACGAGUGUGCUCCACAUUCAAGAGCAUCUCUCCAGACAGGAAGGAGCACGAAGGGACCGCAGCUUCAGGAAGGAGGCAGGAGGUCUCGCAACAUCUUGGCGUGUCUGCCGUUUCUUUUUUUUUUUCCUCUGACAAACGUCUAGCCCCGUCGGACAUCUGGACAUGAUAUAACGUCGGUGGAGGCAAAGGGGAAGAAGGACCAGAAGGGCCUGCGAGGGCAGUGCCUCCCCCAGGAGCGGAGGGGGCGGACAGGAGUGGCCGUCGGGGCAGGAGCCGCCUGCGGUGAAGACGUGAGUCAUGCUGGAGGCGGAUGGGGAGGCCGGGAAGAGCCAGGAGGGCGGGGCUUGGGGGGGAGGACUGGACCCUCAGGCUGAAGUUGUGACACCGGCGUGGCAUCUCAGAUGGGCAUGGAGCCUCAUGGGCCCUGAUGCUGUUGCUACAGCCUGAAACCAUGGCUUCACAAGAUCCUUGGUACAACCACAGGAGAGGCUCAUUAAUUUUUUUAUCCUCUUCCACAUAUUUCCUUUGGUGUGAAUUACAGUAGGGCUCCUUCUCUUUGCUUCCUUCUUUCUGUCUCUCUCUCUCUCUCUCUCUUUUUUUUUUGUUAACGGCACAGAACUCCCAAAGUCCCAUCCUUCUCCAGGAAUCAGACUGAUGUCAUCGAAACCUCAGCAUAUGCUUUUCAUUAAUGAUGGAAACUUUCUUUCCAUCACCGAAGCAUGUUACGAGAGACCUAAGGGUGUAUGCGAAAAGUCUUUAUUAU